This is a long non-coding RNA of Oncorhynchus tshawytscha (Chinook salmon), 2045 nucleotides long. Lineage: Eukaryota; Metazoa; Chordata; Actinopteri; Salmoniformes; Salmonidae. The record is from Ensembl.
UGUAUGUAAACUUCUGACUUCAACUGUAUGUUAGGCUUUGGUUGACAUUUGAGAAAGCAAGAAAUGGUAGUUAUGCUGAGCUCAUAAAAAUGUACCUCUUCAAUUUCUCUCUCCAAAUGACUUUAGGACCGUCAACUGUCCGAGCCACCCAAGAGGAUCAGUCUGAUUCUCUGUGCUCUGAGUCGGAAAGACACCAGCUUGAGGUGGCUUGCAUUGGACUGGAGGAACAGGAGCAGGUGCAGCAUCCAGAAGUAGGAGGCCUACUUGGGAGGCAUCGCCAUGCUGUCAGCAGUACCAACACUGGCCCAGGAGUUUGUCCAGAUAGUCAACCUCAAGGAAAACCACUGGGUCACGGUAAAUAACCUUCGCUGCCAGGUAGGUACUGUUAAGGUGUAUGACUCCAGUGGUCGUGACACCACCCAAUAGUUUCUCUCACAACUCACCUCUCUCUUAUCUUUUCCAGGGACCUCUCUGACUGUGGAGUGGCCAGCAGUCCAGCAGCAGAAAGGGGGCACAGAUUGUGGGCUGUUUGCUAUUGCAAACAGUCUUACUCUCUGCAGAGAUGAGGAACCCUCCAUGGCACGAUACCAUCAGAAAUCCAUUUCCCAGUGCCGAUUCCAGUCCCCGUCCUGGGUCCAGGCCUCCCAAGGUCAGCGACCACUGCUUCUGUCGGAAAUACGUGAGAGAAGGUAAGGAGGUGGCCCGAUGCAGGAGAUGCGGAAAGCAUUUUCAUGUGUGUUGCUUGUCUCAUGUCGUCAAUGUGCGUGAAUUUGUCUGUCCAUCGUCCAUCAUGUUUUGGCUGAUGUUUUCCCCACACUUGUUUUCACUAAUUGGCCGGCUCCCCACCUCAAGACGAUAGGUAUUUUACUACAUUGCAUCUUGUUGUGUAUUGUAUGUUAUUGUAAAUAACCUGUUGUAAUAUUGUUUAAAAUGUGUAUAAAGAUGCGUUUUCUUGCAGACAUUGGCUGUGAAGUUGGUAAGUUGCUUGGUAAGUAUAUAGCAUAUGUAAUCUGUCUUGUAUUCAAAGUAAUGUUUACAAGCAUGUAAAUGUUUGUAUAUUUUUUCCAUUUGUUUGCUGGUAAAUAUUUGAAACUUGCUCAAAUUGGCUGUAACUGUAUACAUUUGCAUAUUAAAUGCAUUCAUUGCAAGUAACAUUUUCAAUUGACUGAAAUUGACAGUUCAAUUGCCCAGUUAUUUACUUAUCCUUAACUCCUUCUCCCUAACCAUUAAUAUUUUGUGUCCAAUUCCAAAUCAAAUUUGAGGCCAGAGUUGGUAUGGAAUUGGACAUUGGUUUCUAGUUAGUGUUUGCAUAUAUGGAGGUUCUAGAUUUGUGUACGUAAUAUGGCAGAAGUCUCCCAGAGUCCAUUACACAGCAGGGUUGAGUCAUCACCAUAUUGCUACACCUAUCCAAGCCCCAUCAGGUCAAGCACUACAAAGAUAGAGUAGGGGGUUAAAGGCCUUAAUUAAAAUCAAAAUACUGCUCUCGGCCUUGACGUGGUGAGAGGGCUUCCAACUCAACCAGGCCCAUGUUAUUGAAACCAUGACUGAAACUGUCUGCCUGUCGAGGACAAGUGACAGGAAGAACUCAUCUCUUGAUUCCGCCUCUUUCCUCUCUCCUCAUCCUUUAACUCUUUCUCUCCUCUCCCUCCAGACGAAAAUUCUGCAUCUAGUGACUUCUGAUUGCCCAACAAUCUGCCCACUCAUCCCAUCCCCUCCUCCAUCUCAUUACAUCAUUUUUAUUUAACCUAUAUUUAACUAUCAUCUAAAGCUACUGUUAUUGUCAUUAUUUGCGAAUACAUUUUGCUAUGCACGCUCACAGUGCCCUACAGACCUACGUACACCGACACUCACUCCAUCAUUUGCUCACACACACACACACACACACAGUAAUAUGCACAUACAGUGCAUUCAGAAAGUAUUCAGACCCCUUUACUUUCUACAAGUUACAGCCUUAUUCUAAAAUUAAAAUUAAAAAAAAAGGUCUUCAUUGAUCUAAACACAAUACUCAAUAAUGGCAAAGUGAAAACAGGUUUUUAGAAUUUUUU